Misgurnus anguillicaudatus (oriental weatherfish) is the source of this 1839-nucleotide non-coding RNA. NCBI's taxonomy places the organism in Eukaryota, Metazoa, Chordata, Actinopteri, Cypriniformes, Cobitidae. The record is from RefSeq and is a predicted model, not a curated record.
ACUCAGUACACUGAAAAAAAUGGACUUAGUGGGUCUUUGAAUUUAAAUAAAAUAAACAUGUAUAUGCAACACAAAAUAUUUAUAUUCCUUGUGUAAACAUAAUUUAAUUGAUUAGGAUUAAAAUGUUUUGUUUGAAUGUAAAAUGAACACAUUAUUCUCACAUUGAUUAAAAUUGAUUGAAUUGAAUACUUAAAGCAAUAAAAUUGCGUUUGGACACAAAACGGCACCUCCUGAGCAGCAGGGGCAGUAUAGCUCAAUGAGAAGGACAUCGAUUGCCAUAAAAGAAGAAUAAAGAUCGUUUGUUUUGGGCGCCAAAAUGAAGACUCAGCAGCAGUCAGUCAGUCAGUCAGAAGAACUCUCUCAGACGGACACCACGUUAUUAAAGUCCAUCAUCCUUUCAUGCGCUACACAGCAUUGAUAAAUGCUGAAUUUAAAAGAAUCACUACUGUCUAAUGUUCCUGUGUCACCUGGACCUCCAAUCCAAAAACCUGACGAAACUCUUCUAUCAGAAAGGAUGACAGCUAGCAAAAAGACUUCAAACAAUUAAUGAUCAAAUGACAGAAGGCAUGGAUGAAGUCAGCAUCAGUGAGGUCAUUUGAAGACACCAAUGUUGGGAUUUGUGCUCUCAAACAACAUGCUGCUUGUGAUGAAGAAGAGGAUAUUUGUAUAGUCCUGGAAGCCAUGAAGGUGUUGCAACAUCGUGUUUGAGCUGAUGUAUGCCUUAAACCUGGUCUCCGCUUUAUUUUUGAGGAAAUCCAAACUGCAUUGAGAGUAACUUUAACGAACAGUUUCUUUCAGUGAAAGGAUCAGAAAGACUGUGCUGCUCAUUUUUGAAUUUUUUAUCUGUUUUAAGUGUUUUCUCUUAUUAAUACAUUAACAGUUUGCUGCUCAGAGUCGAUUUUGGAAAUGGUUGUUGUAUUUUGUUUUUGUUGAAUCUUUGAUUAACAGUUUAUAAAUGCUGUAGCUCUGACUUUCUGAAGGAGUGAUAUUUUCCAGUUUGUAAAUCCAUUUUAUAAAUAAUAGUACUUACUGUUUUGCAUGUGUCUUUGGAAUGCAGUGUUUGUGCUUUAGCACGUCUAAAUCUACUGUGAUAGUAACUAUUUUAUACAUUUGGGUCAGUUUCACAGAUGGGGCUUUUCCUAGUCCCAGACUUUUGCAAUGCCAUAUAUCAGUGCCAUUGUUUUGUCGGUAACACUUUACAAUAAGGUUCAUUAGUUAACAUUAGUUAACUACAUUAAUUAAUGUGAACUAAUAAUCAACUGCACUUAUACAGCAUUUAUUCAUCUUUGUUAAUGUUAAUUUCAACAAUUACUAAUACUUUUAUUAAAAUUUUGUUAAUGUUAGUUAAUGCACUGUGAACUAACAUGAACAAGCAAAUAAAGCUUUAUUUAUAUUAACUAACAUUAACAAAGAUUAAUAAAUACUGUAACAAAUGUAUUGCUCAUGGUUUGUUCAUGUUAGUUAAUACAUUAACUAAUAUUAACUAAUGAACCUUAUUGUAAAGUGUUACCGUUUUGUCUAAAGAUGUACUCCAGUGUUGUUUUUGUAAGGUAGGUUUGUUUGUAAACUUUAUUUUAUUAAAAAUAUCCUAAUAUAACUAGGGCCUAGUCAUGGAUUAAUCUACAACCUGUUUGGGAAAUUGCCCCUUUAUGUAUGUACUGCAUGUGCUGAUUGUUGUAAUAGUUAUUGACUGUUAAUGAAUUAAUGUGUAAUGAUGUAAUUGAAUUGAUGAUCUGAAAGCAGUGGUUUGCCUCAAUAUCACUAAACAUUUGUACAAAACUCUUUGCUUUUUAUGCCAAUGCAAAUGUAUUUAAAAAAAAAUAAAUAACAUUUGGAUAA